This 87-nucleotide transfer RNA is filed under the name Paludibacter sp. RNAcentral describes it as "tRNA-Ser". It matches the Rfam family "tRNA". Rfam says of the family: Transfer RNA (tRNA) molecules are approximately 80 nucleotides in length. Their secondary structure includes four short double-helical elements and three loops (D, anti-codon, and T loops). Lineage: Bacteria; Pseudomonadati; Bacteroidota; Bacteroidia; Bacteroidales; Paludibacteraceae. The record is from RNAcentral. RNAcentral also lists the same sequence under 1 other name.
GGAAAGUUGCCAGAGUGGUCGAUCGGGUCGGUCUCGAAAACCGAUGUACUCGCAAGGGUACCCAGGGUUCGAAUCCCUGACUUUCCG